UACGGAAGGUCCGGGCGUUAUCCGGAUUUAUUGGGUUUAAAGGGAGCGCAGGCCGAAGAUUAAGCGUGACGUGAAAUGCCGCGGCUCAACCGUGGAAGUGCGUCGCGAACUGGUUUUCUUGAGUGUGCACGAGGAAGGCGGAAUUCGUGGUGUAGCGGUGAAAUGCUUAGAUAUCACGAAGAACUCCGAUUGCGAAGGCAGCCUUCCAGGGCAUUACUGACGCUAAAGCUCGAAGGUGCGGGUAU
Molecule: ribosomal RNA, 245 nt
Filed under: uncultured Prevotella sp.
Lineage: Bacteria; Pseudomonadati; Bacteroidota; Bacteroidia; Bacteroidales; Prevotellaceae
Description: partial 16S ribosomal RNA
Rfam family: Bacterial small subunit ribosomal RNA
Source: RNAcentral